RNAcentral lists this long non-coding RNA (1086 nucleotides) under Helianthus annuus (common sunflower). The record is from RNAcentral. Lineage: Eukaryota; Viridiplantae; Streptophyta; Magnoliopsida; Asterales; Asteraceae.
AUGUGAGAAAGAUAAGAGGGUGAGUGAAGCAGCGGCGAGCCAUCUACGGAAACGGAAAUGACGGUGGUACCGAGGUUUUCGGUCAUCGCAGCGGUGGUCAACAGUCGCACCAGGUGGUGGCUAGGGUUUCAGUUUCCGUUUCAGGCAUUAUCAGCAGCAGAAACCAAUGGUGAAGGCGGUUAGGGUAUCACCACAGUGAUGAAGAUGGCUUCAAGAAGCUCCGGCGAGAUACCUAGGGUUCCGGUCAUAUUCCGGCGAAUUCCCCGCAGAAGGAUUAAAGCUUGCAUGUUCCAUUUUCAUGUAGAUUGGUGACCGAUUCGUCUGAAAUCAUUCCGAGACAUGUUUUUAUGGCUUCCAGGAAGCUUCUAUCCUUUUACUUGAUGAAUAAGAGAGACAACAAAGAGAAAGGCAGUCCUUAAUGAGAGACUCAGGCGCGUGCAGACUAUCUAGCCAUAAAAAAAUGUCAAUGACGAAGCUUUCCAUGGUGCUAUCGGUUGGAGUGUACAGGAAGUGGUGGUGAUGCAGACGCAGCUCUGAUGAAUUGUGGUGUUGAAACAAGGUCGAAACAAAACGAAAGGGGACAAUGACGACAUGGUGACAGUUUAGAAACCAUAGCCGUGAACUUAGCCGGCUAGGGUUUUUAUCAAAAAUCCAGUGACCCCUUCGAGCUGCGUGUCUCAUUUCGAAGCUAGGAACUACGAGGUAAAGAUUGUCAAAUCUGAGAGAUUAGGAGGCUGUAUUAUGAAACUGGUGACUCGACUUCUGACUCGCCAGGCAUUUUCAUGUCUGAUUCACUAACUCAACUCGGAAUUGCUUCCACAUUACAAAUGGGAGUAGAAACAUAAGACAUAGAAAAGCGAUGGUCUUUAGUAGAUAAACAUAUUUAUGGUCUCAAAAGUGAAAAAAAAAAGUCGGAGUAAGCUUUGUAAGUUAAAACUUCUGGGAAUGUUGUAAUGUUGCUGUAAUCAUCUUCUCCAAGCCAUUGUUGAAGCCUUUGCUGUCUCAAGUAAACUUUGUUUUUAAUGGUUCUUUAAUUUUUGUUUUUCAACUCAAAUUUCAAGCAAAAUAAUCGCAUCUUUAUUGAUG